Molecule: ribosomal RNA, 454 nt
Filed under: uncultured bacterium
Lineage: Bacteria
Description: partial 16S ribosomal RNA
Rfam family: Bacterial small subunit ribosomal RNA
Source: RNAcentral
ACGGGAGGCAGCAGUGAGGAAUAUUGGUCAAUGGAGGCAACUCUGAACCAGCCAUCUCGCGUGAAGGAAUACGGCCCUACGGGUCUUAAACUUCUUUUAUAGGGGGAUAAAGUGAGAUAUGUAUAUCUUUUUGUAGGUACCCUAUGAAUAAGCAUCGGCUAACUCCGUGCCAGCAGCCGCGGUAAUACGGAGGAUGCGAGCGUUAUCCGGAUUUAUUGGGUUUAAAGGGUGCGCAGGCGGCACGUUAAGUCAGCGGUGAAAUGUCGGGGCUCAACCCGGGCACUGCCGUUGAAACUGGUUGUCUUGAGUGUAAACGAGGUAGGCGGAAUGUGACGUGUAGCGGUGAAAUGCUUAGAUAUGUCACAGAACCCCGAUUGCGAAGGCAGCUUACCAGCAUACAACUGACGCUGAGGCACGAAAGCGUGGGUAUCAAACAGGAUUAGAUACCCUGGUA